AUAGUUUAUCAGCAAGCUGCCACUCCCUUGGUAAGGGAGAGGUCGAGAGUUCAAUCCUCUCUCGCAGCACCA
RNAcentral lists this transfer RNA (72 nucleotides) under Mesorhizobium sp. NZP2077. Its description in RNAcentral is "tRNA-OTHER". It matches the Rfam family "tRNA". Rfam says of the family: Transfer RNA (tRNA) molecules are approximately 80 nucleotides in length. Their secondary structure includes four short double-helical elements and three loops (D, anti-codon, and T loops). Further hydrogen bonds mediate the characteristic L-shaped molecular structure. tRNAs have two regions of fundamental functional importance: the anti-codon, which is responsible for specific mRNA codon recognition, and the 3' end, to which the tRNAs corresponding amino acid is attached (by aminoacyl-tRNA synthetases). tRNAs cope with the degeneracy of the genetic code in two manners: having more than one tRNA (with a specific anti-codon) for a particular amino acid; and 'wobble' base-pairing, i.e. permitting non-standard base-pairing at the 3rd anti-codon position. Lineage: Bacteria; Pseudomonadati; Pseudomonadota; Alphaproteobacteria; Hyphomicrobiales; Phyllobacteriaceae. The record is from RNAcentral.